GUUUUCUCCCAGCUCUCUAUCUCGGCGUCCACAGGAGGUCCCUCUGCUCUCCACCCAUAGCAACCACAGCACAUGCACUGUGGUUGCUAUGGAAACUCCCUAGCCUUCGCUCUAGCACUGGCUAGGGGGUAUACUAACGGAGUGAAAUAACGUCACUCUGUUCCGACUCCGGCGCGCUGCAAAUGAAGCCAGCAUGCCGACGCCGCUAAGGAUACCUCAAGCGGCCUAAAUCAAAGAAGAGUCCAUGCGGAGCGAAGGAAGGCUGGAGGUGGGUGUUACAUGAAGAGUAACACCUACCAAGCAAAGCUGGAAUGGAGAGAAAGUGAGUAAAUUUAUAUAUUUUACAUUGAGU
Pelobates cultripes (western spadefoot toad) is the source of this 352-nucleotide non-coding RNA. NCBI's taxonomy places the organism in Eukaryota, Metazoa, Chordata, Amphibia, Anura, Pelobatidae. The record is from the annotation of a GenBank genome assembly.